GUAUUUUCUGAUCAUUCUUCAGGGUGUGCAGUCCUGAACACAGGCUCUUGCAUUCCAGGAGCUUUAGGCUUUGCUGAGCCUGCCCCUGGAUCACUCUAUGGCACAGCUCCCAGCCCCAGCUGUGAUGUCAGGAUGUGUUAAGGGAAAAUACAUCAUUUUCAUCCAGGAAGCUAACUGCUUCUUUGGAAGAACAGCCAUCUCCCUUCAGCUUAAGCUUCUGCAGUCUUUUGACUUUCACUGGAUUCUGCCUUAGCAAAACUAAAACCAGCUGGUAACAAUAAAUGUAUCCCUACCUGGAAAAACAAAUUACAGUGUAUCUUACUGGCCUCCUGCAUUACCAGUCACUGCAGUUUAUUUGUGAAAGAGUAACAUCAAUUGAAGUCCAGAUUAAUGCAGAAUCACUCCUUUUAG
Non-coding RNA from Agelaius phoeniceus (red-winged blackbird), 411 nucleotides. The record is from RefSeq and is a predicted model, not a curated record. Lineage: Eukaryota; Metazoa; Chordata; Aves; Passeriformes; Icteridae.